RNAcentral lists this transfer RNA (73 nucleotides) under Myotis davidii. It matches the Rfam family "tRNA". Rfam says of the family: Transfer RNA (tRNA) molecules are approximately 80 nucleotides in length. Their secondary structure includes four short double-helical elements and three loops (D, anti-codon, and T loops). The record is from Rfam by way of RNAcentral. Lineage: Eukaryota; Metazoa; Chordata; Mammalia; Chiroptera; Vespertilionidae.
GCCCCAGUAGCUCAGUUGGUUAGAGCGUUGACCCGAUAUGCCAAGGUUUUGGGUUCGAUCCUCAGUCAGGGCA